GACAGAGGAGGCGAGCGUUGUUCGGAAUCACUGGGCGUAAAGGGCGUGCAGGCUGUCAGGUAAGUCAGAUGUGAAAUCUCCUAUUGAAAAGAGGAAACUGCAUUUGAUACUACUUGACUAGAGUUUAGGAGGGGAAAGUGGAAUUCCCAGUGUAGCGGUGAAAUGCGUAGAUAUUGGGAGGAACACCGGUGGCGAAGGCGACUUUCUGGCCUAUAACUGACGCUCAGACGCGAAAGCUAGGGGAGCAAACAGGAUUAGAUACCCGCGUA
This 269-nucleotide ribosomal RNA is filed under the name uncultured prokaryote. RNAcentral's name for it is "partial 16S ribosomal RNA". It matches the Rfam family "Bacterial small subunit ribosomal RNA", at positions 524 to 792 of the family's 1533-position model. The record is from RNAcentral.